This 643-nucleotide ribosomal RNA is filed under the name Cortinarius flexipes. RNAcentral describes it as "eukaryotic LSU rRNA". It matches the Rfam family "Eukaryotic large subunit ribosomal RNA", at positions 1 to 625 of the family's 3401-position model. The record is from RNAcentral. Lineage: Eukaryota; Fungi; Basidiomycota; Agaricomycetes; Agaricales; Cortinariaceae.
GUGACCUCAAAUCAGGUAGGACUACCCGCUGAACUUAAGCAUAUCAAUAAGCGGAGGAAAAGAAACUAACAAGGAUUCCCCUAGUAACUGCGAGUGAAGCGGGAAAAGCUCAAAUUUAAAAUCUGGCGGUCUUUUGGCUGUCCGAGUUGUAAUCUAGAGAAGUGUUAUCCGUGCUGGACCGUGUACAAGUCUCCUGGAAUGGAGCAUCAUAGAGGGUGAGAAUCCCGUCUUUGACAUGGACUACCAGUGCUUUUGUGAUGCGCUCUCAAAGAGUCGAGUUGUUUGGGAAUGCAGCUCAAAAUGGGUGGUAAAUUCCAUCUAAAGCUAAAUAUUGGCGAGAGACCGAUAGCGAACAAGUACCGUGAGGGAAAGAUGAAAAGAACUUUGGAAAGAGAGUUAAACAGUACGUGAAAUUGCUGAAAGGGAAACGCUUGAAGUCAGUCGCGUCAUCCAGGGAUCAACCUUGCUUUUGCUUGGUGCACUUUCUGGUUUGAUGGGUCAGCAUCAAUUUUGACCAUUGGAAAAAGGCCAAGGGAAUGUGGCAUCUUUGGAUGUGUUAUAGCCCUUGGUCACAUACAAUGGUUGGGAUUGAGGAACUCAGCACGCCGCAAGGCCGGGUUUAAACCACGUUCGUGCUAGGAUG